AUACGCACCGGCUAACUCCGUGCCAGCAGCCGGGGUAAUACGGAGGGUGCAAGCGUUACUCGGAAUCACUGGGCGUAAAGGGCCCGUAGGUCGAUUAUCAAGUCUCUUGUGAAAUCUAAUGGCUUAACCAUUAAACUGCUUGGGAAACUGAUAGUCUAGAGUGAGGGAGAGGCAGAUGGAAUUGGUGGUGUAGGGGUAAAAUCCGUAGAUAUCACCAAGAAUACCCAUUGCGAAGGCGAUCUGCUGGAACUCAACUGACGCUAAGGCGCGAAAGCGUGGGGAGCAAACAGGAUUAGAUACCCUGUUAGUCCACGCCCUAAACGAUGGCCACUAGGUGUUGGGGUGCUAGUCAUCUCAGUAAUGCAGCUAACGCAUUAAGUGUACCGCCUGGGGAGUACGGUCGCAAGAUUAAAACUCAAAGGAAUAGACGGGGACCCGCACAAGCGGUGGAGCAUGUGGUUUAAUUCGAAGAUACGCGAAGAACCUUACCUGGGCUUGAUAUCCUAAGAACCUUUUAGAGAUAAGAGGGUGCUAGCUUGCUAGAACUUAGAGACAGGUGCUGCACGGCUGUCGUCAGCUCGUGUCGUGAGAUGUUGGGUUAAGUCCCGCAACGAGCGCAACCCACGUAUUUAGUUGCUAACGGUUCGGCCGAGCACUCUAAAUAGACUGCCUUCGUAAGGAGGAGGAAGGUGUGGACGACGUCAAGUCAUCAUGGCCCUUAUGCCCAGG
This 729-nucleotide ribosomal RNA is filed under the name Campylobacter coli. Its description in RNAcentral is "bacterial SSU rRNA". It matches the Rfam family "Bacterial small subunit ribosomal RNA", at positions 486 to 1212 of the family's 1533-position model. Lineage: Bacteria; Pseudomonadati; Campylobacterota; Epsilonproteobacteria; Campylobacterales; Campylobacteraceae. The record is from RNAcentral.